AAUGGGCGCAAGCCUGAUCCAGCAAUGCCGCGUGUGUGAAGAAGGCCUUCGGGUUGUAAAGCACUUUUGUCCGGAAAGAAAACCUCGUGGUUAAUACCCGUGGGGGAUGACGGUACCGGAAGAAUAAGCACCGGCUAACUACGUGCCAGCAGCCGCGGUAAUACGUAGGGUGCAAGCGUUAAUCGGAAUUACUGGGCGUAAAGCGUGCGCAGGCGGUUCGCUAAGACAGAUGUGAAAUCCCCGGGCUUAACCUGGGAACUGCAUUUGUGACUGGCGGGCUAGAGUAUGGCAGAGGGGGGUAGAAUUCCACGUGUAGCAGUGAAAUGCGUAGAGAUGUGGAGGAAUACCGAUGGCGAAGGCAGCCCCCUGGGCCAAUACUGACGCUCAUGCACGAAAGCGUGGGGAGCAAACAGGAUU
RNAcentral lists this ribosomal RNA (417 nucleotides) under uncultured beta proteobacterium. RNAcentral describes it as "bacterial SSU rRNA". It matches the Rfam family "Bacterial small subunit ribosomal RNA", at positions 370 to 779 of the family's 1533-position model. Lineage: Bacteria; Pseudomonadati; Pseudomonadota; Betaproteobacteria. The record is from RNAcentral.